AGGGAUUCCCUUAGUAAUGGCGAAUGAAAAGGGAAAGGCUCAAAUUUAAAAUCACUCACGUGAAUUGUAGUUUAUAAGAUAAAAGUCUCACAGCAACCACUGUCCAAGUGCUCUGGAAUGAACCAUCAUAGAGGGUGAAAUUCCCGUACUAAACAGAGAGGAAGCUGCAAAGAACUUUAAUCUAACGAGUCGUGUUGCUUGAUAAUGCAGCAUUAAUAGGGAGGUAAAUUCCUUCUAAAGCUAAAUACAAGAGAGAGACCGAUAGCAAACAAGUACCGUGAGGGAAAGAUGAAAGAGAACCCUGAAAAGGGGACUCAAAAGAAUGUGAAAUUGUCAAAAGGUAAGCGCUAAGAACUGUCCGUAGUUUGGAUUUUAAGAUUGAUGGGGUUUACUCCGUUGAAAUUAAGGUUCAGAUGGCUAUAGCUUUUGUCUCGACCUUUAAGAGCAUUGGGAUAAGGAUUGUAGGCUUCGGUUUACCUUUCUUUGAACUUUGCUUUUAAGAGUUGGGGCAGGAUGAAAAGUCUCAUGCUGUGGUAAACAUGUGGAACUUUAUUCAAUAGACUUGUCUAGAGAGUAUUAGGAAGUAUGUUUGCUACAUCAAGAGCACUUAUAGUUAGGAGGUUCUAAGCGUCCCGUCUUGAAACACGGACCAAGGAGUCUAACAUUUAUGCAAGUAUAUGGGCGUUAAACCUCAAAUGCGAAAUGAAAGUAAUUUCAGGUAGGAUCCUGCAAGGGUGCACUAUCAACCGAACCUUAUGGACUUGUUCAUAGGAUUUGAGUAAGAGCAUAAAUGUUGGUACCCGAAAGAUGGUGAACUAUGCCUGAAUAGGGUGAAGCCAGAGGAAACUCUGGUGGAAGCUUGUAGCGAUUCUGACGUGCAAAUCGAUCGUCGAAUUUGGGUAUAG
This 905-nucleotide ribosomal RNA is filed under the name Eryniopsis caroliniana. RNAcentral's name for it is "eukaryotic LSU rRNA". It matches the Rfam family "Eukaryotic large subunit ribosomal RNA", at positions 70 to 920 of the family's 3401-position model. The record is from RNAcentral. Lineage: Eukaryota; Fungi; Entomophthoromycota; Entomophthoromycetes; Entomophthorales; Entomophthoraceae.